Molecule: RNA transcript, 5731 nt
Organism: Haemorhous mexicanus (house finch)
Lineage: Eukaryota; Metazoa; Chordata; Aves; Passeriformes; Fringillidae
Gene: PCMT1
Gene name: protein-L-isoaspartate (D-aspartate) O-methyltransferase
Exons: 8
Source: RefSeq, a predicted model, not a curated record
GCGGCGGCGACAGCCGGGGCAUGUCGGGCGCGCGGGGCGGUGGGCGCGUGGCCCCUCCCCUCGGCGAGCGCGCGGCAGCCGCAGCGGCGGCGGCCGCGGGAGGAGGCGGCGAGGAGGCGGCGCCUGUGUCGGCGCUGGAGGUUGUGUCCUUCCUGGGGAAGCUGCUGUGCGCAGUCGCGGCGCUGAAGGCGGCUCUGUACCUGCUCCGCAGAGUGUGCCUAGCGAUGGCCUGGAAGUCGGGCGGCGCCAGCCACUCCGAGCUCAUCCACAACCUCCGCAAAAAUGGAAUAAUCAAAACAGACAAGGUAUUUGAAGUAAUGCUGGCUACAGACCGUUGCCACUAUGCAAAAUACAACCCCUACAUGGACUCCCCCCAGUCUAUAGGUUUCCAAGCAACAAUCAGUGCUCCACACAUGCAUGCAUAUGCACUUGAACUUCUAUCUGAUCAGCUACAUGAAGGAGCCAAAGCACUUGAUGUAGGAUCUGGAAGUGGAAUUCUUACAGCAUGCUUUUCGCGAAUGGUUGGUCCCAAAGGACAAGUUGUAGGAAUUGAUCAUAUCAAAGAACUAGUAGAUGACUCAAUAAAUAAUGUCAAAAAAGACGAUCCCACAUUGCUGUCUUCAGGAAGAGUGAAACUAAUUGUGGGAGAUGGACGAAUGGGAUAUGCAGAAGAAGCUCCCUAUGAUGCAAUCCAUGUUGGAGCUGCAGCCCCAGUUGUGCCCCAAGCACUUAUAGACCAGUUAAAACCUGGCGGAAGAUUGAUAUUACCAGUUGGCCCUGCUGGGGGAAACCAGAUGCUCGAACAGUAUGACAAACUAGAAGAUGGCAGUGUCAAAAUGAAGCCUCUGAUGGGAGUGAUAUAUGUGCCUUUAACAGAUAAAGAGAAGCAGUGGUCCAGGUGGAAGUGAUUUUCUGUUCCACUUACUUCUUCCACACACAUGCAAGGUGAAAGGGUGUGAAUUUUAAGCAGAUAGACUGCAAGGCCUGCCUUUGCUGCUGUCAUUGCUUUUUGUUCCUCCAUACCAUGAAAAGUGACUCAGUCUGCAUUACUACAUCACCCAAAGGAGGUUAUGCUAUUUUUGAGUUAAAUUAAAAGCAGAAGAAAAAUAUUGCAUGGGUUGCACUUUGUCUUUUUUGGACAUAUUUUCUUUAGUCUUUGGUGUUUUGAAGAUUCUUAUUUGCUGUUUUAAAUACAGUAUUUUCUAAGGUUAAACUUCACUUUUAAUGAAUUUUUUAUAACUAUUUAGCCCAAUAAUUAGGGUGAAGUGUAAAAUUUUCCUUAAUAAAUACUGUUUUGUCCUUUAAGUUAGUGGUAAUUGGGUGUUCAUUUUUUAUUUUUCUGAAACACUACAAAUGAAGAAAAAUCUUUGUAAAAUCCUUUGUGACAAAUGUAGGUGAUCUUGCAAGCACUUUUCCUUUUUAGCCUCCAAGUAGCAAAAAGUAGAAAAGAUAAUUCCUUCUUCCCUAAAGUAUAAAUGUAGUUGAGUAGUGUUUAGAAGAUUUUCCCAGACAUGUUAUUAGAAGUCUGUUAUCUGUCUCUGAUGGGGCAGUAUUUGUGUUUGCCAAUACAGCAAAUUCUAAAUGCCUUUCUAGAAGUAGGAAACCUUCCAGUUUGCUGAAUUGAACAGCCAGUAAUAAAUGAAUAAAUAAAUAGACUUAAUGCAGCUGUCAGCUUAAGCCAUGCUAGUAUGUGAAUGAACAAAGCAGCAGCGCUGUUUUGCUUCCUGGCAGAAAGUGCUUGUGAAUGUAUUAUUGGCAUUAGUGAAGUGCAGAGAUGUGCACUGAGCUCUGAAAACAACUCUUGAGUUUUAUAACCUAAAUUUAGAUUUUUGGCUUUUUUCCCCUUGAUAUUUUAGAGUAUAGUUUGUGAUUUGAAUACACAAAUACUCAGUCUAACCUAUCAAAAUAUUCCUAAAAAGUACAAACAAAGCAGUUUGCAUACUGUUGCUUAGCGAAACCUCAUUUCACUGUUUCUUGGAUUACUAUAUAGCCACCACGUACAAAUUGCUCUUAAAACAACUUCAGUGAGGUACUGCUUAGUUCAAAGCUUGUGUGCUUGUUAUUCAAAUGUUUUGUAUUUGUUAUGCAAAUGAAUGCUUUAGCCUUGAAUAUUGCCAGUAUUCCCUCACUGUGGUACUCGGGGAUUUCCUGCCUCUUGUAAGGCUUUGGAAGCUUUCCUUUGUGGUCGGUUUCCUCCUCUGGCGAAUGUUUAAUUUAAGUUUGGAAUCCAUGCUUCACUUGCUCUAAAAAAGAGUAGUUGUCUUCUUAAACCUUCCUUCUCUCAUAGACUUUUCAUAGAUUUUUUUCUAUUUCCACCUGAUCUGAUUAUAGUAGCAAUUGGGAUUUUUUUGGUAUCCCAAAAAAAGGAUAGCAGUGUGUGUUCAUAAAACACUUUAAGAAGGGUUUCUUGAAUGACAGUGUUUAUCCCUUGCUCCAAGUGAAGCUGGGGUACUGUGUUAAGGACUAGAAUUCAGAGUUUUUUGCAUCUCUUCAGUGCAGUUUGGUAUUUCAUUUUGUAUUUUAGCUUGGAGAGAGCGAAUAGUUUGUCUUUGGGCCUUCUUCAGUCAUGCAUACUGUAGGAUUAUUUUCCUCAGAAAUUCGUACCAGUUUCUGUGCUCUUCUGAAACACUUCUUGAUUUUAUUAAUUUAUUUUUAUUUAAGAAUUUACAGUGGUGUUAUCAGAAAAUAUAAGUGCUUAGCCUGAAGGGUUCAUCUGCAACAGCAUAGAGGCUCUAUCUUGCUAUGCGCAUUUAAAUUUCGUUCAGUCUUGGAACUCUCUGUUAAAGAAAAUCUCAGAAGUCCUCUUCUUGUAACAUUUGCUAUUUCUUUAAUUGUCCUUUUUGUGCUUUGAAGAAAAUUCCCACUCCAUUUUCUAGGAUAACUGUCAGUGUACUGCUGACCUUACAGGAGGUCACAUCUUUUUCUUUUCUUUGUUUUUCCUUGUUGGUGGCUAUGAAGUAUAUGGUAAGGCAGCUGCUAAGGAAAUUCCUAAUUAUAAGUCAGCAUUUGCUAUCUAUGCUGUCAUCAAAGAUGAAAGAGCUGGUUUUUCUUCAUUUCCUAGAUUUUAUUUUUUCUUUUCUAAAUUGCUCAAGAUCUGUGAGCAGAGUUCAUUUAGAGACUCCUCUGAAAAAGCAUCUCUAAGUGUUUCUGUAAUAAAAAUCUGUAGUGUAUGGGAGACUAGUUGAUGUAAAUCUCAAAUUCAUUAAACAACAAUCAUUUUAAGAUUAGCUCAAUUCUGUGUGUUUAGUUUGUUAUUUAGUUUAUAUUAUGUGAUUUCAUUCCUAAUGUAGGUAACUCUUUCAUCACAUUGAAUGAAGAACGGGUGUCCCUUCACAGAAUAGAAUUGAUAGGCCAGCAUCAUUUUCCUAGGGUAGCACACCCUCCAGCUGGCAGGAAAGAAGCUGUUAAAUUUUUGCUGAGCCAUUCACAUUUUGCAAUGUUCUUUAACAGGGCUGUAAGGUGCUUUUGCAAAGGAGCACAACACUCUUAAGUGGUGUUUGAAGUCAACCUCAUCUUCAGGGAUGAAUUGUAAAAUCUACAUCAUCUUGACCCAAACAUAGUGUUACAGUGGACUGCUCAUCUCCCGUUCUAAAAGCUUUUUGAAAACCAACAGCAUUGCAGCUUGUUUUGGACUUCGUUAUACUGUUGUUAUCAGCAUGGAAAAGCGUGGUGUUUGUUUUAUUUUCUUAGAUGCUCAAGGCAAAUCUGAUAAAGAAAAGGUGGAAAGUUUUAUGUGGGCAUUGUUUUAUUUAACAUGCCUUUAUUUCACUUUCAUCUGUUCAAAGUGAAUUUCUGCAAAACUGCAGAUAAAGACCUGUAGCUUGUGAACUCUAAUGUUGAUGGGGGAACUUGAACACUCACUUCUCUCUGCUCCUGUGUCCCUUGGUAAAACUGCUUCUGUGCACCUUACGACACUACGUAGGUAAUACCAGGUUUUCUGUGUUCCAAUGUCUGCUAGAUGCUACUAAAAGGAGAUGAACUUUCUUUCUAAGCUUUUGACAUGGUGUCAUAGACUAGCAUGUAGUAGAUACAAUCAGCUGCUUUUUUACCUUAAAACCAGGCAUUUGUAUAUAUUAAAUUUCAAGACAUCAGAUGUAGGUGGCCACUCUUAUCAAACAUUGCUGUUCAAGCUGGACAUAACAGACAUGGUUUUCCCUUUCCUUCUAAAAUUGAUUGAUGUAAUCUUGAAAUUCUGUUGUGGUUUAUAGCUCAGAGCUGGUGUGAUACACAUGGAGCUAACUCCAUAAAUGUGAGGUGAGGUGUAUUCCAAUCACUGAACAAUUUAUGCAAUGCUGCUUUGCCAAAUAAAGUUAAAAGCAAAAGGGGGCUUUUGUGCUUGUGUGGAAGAUUAGGAUGGGUAGAUAGACUGAUAUAUGGAUUGCUAGAUUCUUUAUUAAAAGCCAAAAACCCUUUGGUUCUAAAAGAAAGUUGCUUUUGGUAAAGCUAUUUGCUGUAUUAACAUUCUUGGUUUUAUAACUGUGGGCACCCAGGAAAAAUUCUGGCUUUUUAGAAAGUGAAUUCUAAAUUGCUGUAAAAGGAAUGCAUCGGAAAGAAUCCUGGACUCCUAAGUACACAUAGAUGCACUUGUUCAGUUUUCAUACAGAAGAAUUGUUGGAAGGCUAUUAACCUUUUUUUCUGAUAUAAGUUUUGUGUUCUGUUGGUGCUGUAAAAUGCCGACAGCAAAUUGCGAAGCAGUACACGUGGGCUGCUUUAGGAAAGGGGGGAAGUGUGUCUUCAGUCAUCUUGCUCAUAUUUGAGCAACCUGGAAUUCAAGUAAGCAGCAUAUUAUCCUUGUUUUUUUAUGAUAGGAAGGAUUAUAGAAUAAAACAACCUACAGUGAUCUCUGGAAAAAAACCCAAAACAACUUCCUAUGGUGGAAGAGCAAUAAUUUUGUGAUAGGAUUAAUCCCUGAAAGCAUAAAGGUUAUAAUUCAAAGGCCUCUGAAUAUGGAAAAGGAACAUUUUAAAUAACCUGCCUUUUGAAGGCCAGCCACAUUUUGUUCCUCUGUGAAAGAUACCAUUAGACUUAAUUUAUUUAGAUGUUUGGAAGUUAAUGUACCACCUCCUGAUUUGACUGCAGCCUGGGAGCACAUGCACAAGAUAAUUCUUAUAAAGAAAUUAAUAUAGUACAUAUUCUAGAAAAUACAAUCCAGAAAAAUCCACUUGCGUCUGACAAAUUUGUACUAACCCACAAUCAACUGUGACUCUAGUUCUUGGUGUUGAAGUGAAAUAACUGAUGCAUGCUAACGUUCAACCUUUUGGUCGCUGUAUCUUUCAGUUUGAGUUCAGCUUUAUUUACAUCUUCUCACUAAUUUAAUCAUUUAAAUGAAAGAUAUGAGCUCAACUGUAUCCAAAUUCCUGUCUCUGGACACAGUGUAAUAAGCUAGCCUGACUUGGAAGUGGUGUUACAGCUGAGACCCGAUGACAACUUCCUGGGGGAGAACCACUUCAGGAGGUGUAAGGCCUCAGGGACCAAGGCUGGUGGGAAUAGUGCACCCAUUCCACUGAAGGGGCUGAUGACAGUCAAGGUACUCGGACAGAAAGAAGUAUCCAGGAGUAGCAUUUAGGAGUCGAAAAUGGAAACUCCUCCAUGAUGGAGCAAUGAUUCUGAAGUAAAAUCUGAGAGACGAGGACAAGUUGAAAUGCAGAAGACUUGAAGAGCUUGAAUAAAUGCUGUGUGAACUGUCUGAAUUGCUACUUUGCCAAAUAAAACAAUUUGAGAGGAAGCUGUA